Long non-coding RNA from Polypterus senegalus (gray bichir), 2183 nucleotides. RefSeq lists it as uncharacterized. The transcript is spliced from 4 exons. The record is from RefSeq and is a predicted model, not a curated record. NCBI's taxonomy places the organism in Eukaryota, Metazoa, Chordata, Cladistia, Polypteriformes, Polypteridae.
UCCUGUCCUGUUCAUGAUUUUCAUGAACAGGAUAUAAAUGCUCAGACAAAGUUUGGAAAGUAUCCAGUUUGGAAAACUAAGGGUUACAUUUGGAACUCUUUGAAGAUGAAGUUGUCCUCUGGUUGUCAUCAGCGUGAUCUACAGCUUACAACUGAAUGGUUCAUAGCUGAACAAAAUGAGAAUUAGCCCCUUCAAAUCUGAAGUCAUGAUCUGCUUCCAGAAGAGAGAUGGUUACUUUCUGCAGUUCUCUCUUUAAAUGCAGUUAUGUUCCAUGUUCUUUGUGCAUGGAGCACCAAGAGAUGGGACCACCCUGAUGCCACCACUCGUAUACCCUUCUUCUGACUAUAAACAUGCGCUGAGAAGGCCUAGAGGUGGGAAUCAUUGUUGUUAAUGGAGUUUUAGAGGAACCUUAAAAAGUGAGACUACCAUUACGGGACUUAGGGAUUGUCCUCAAUCUGUAUAUUAAAGAUGAGCAGGUCCCAUCAGAAGUUCAUUGAUUGAUGUGGAGUUCACAGCUUGCUGGAACCCUGAGAAAACGACGUCCAGACACACAGCAACAUCGGCAGAAAAACAGUUUUCCAGGUCCGUAAUGGGGAAGAAAAAGGGCAAGCAGAGCAUCAGCGGAGGUACCAAGCUCGUCACAGAGGACACUUGGGAUGACCUGAAGAGCAGAUGCACGAGAUCGGAAAGGCCUUCGGAGAAGAACAACUACCAAGAGGUAUGUGCCGGGGAUUCUAUGAAUAACAUCUUUAAAAUAACACACUUUGUUCCAUGCACAUACCUCAAGGUAAAUCCUCUGGAGGUCCUGCAGGAUGCAAGAGAAAAACCUGACGAAGAAGCUCCAUUCUCUGUCCAGCCGACGAGCCAGGAGGACUUCCGCAUGUCGGCGGCCGGCGAGGGACACGUGACCGCGGCCAGUGCAUUGUGGGAAGGAGAAGGUCCACGUCCUGCUGUUUGUGACAUCACCAUCGAAGAGACGGUCCUGGACUUUCCGAAGGGGAGGGGAGGGGUAGGCGAGCGAAGCACCGAUCACCCUGAAAGAAGGUAAGGAGGGCCAGGAAAUGACUGAUCAGGCUGUCGAAAAAUUAAUAAAGAUAGACCGCAGUUCGCCAAAGAAGGCAACCCGGUCCUCUGCCAAAGAGAACUCCAAUUCCCAGCAGCCUCCGCGAGACCCAUCAGAACACGUGCCGGCAGCGGACAUGUUCAUUGGCUCCCGGCCAGUAAGUAGGCAGAAGGAGGAAGUCAGCCUACCGCCGGUCGAAUUAAUUAACCCUUUAAAUGUACGGGAACUCGAGGAAUUGAUCGAGCCCGUACAAGCUAUUUUUCAGAUGUUGGAGGCAAUUAAGAAGAUAAUCGGAGAUCUGGGAGUGACGGCUGAAGUGCCGACUAAAAAGGUAAACGAGUACCUGUGACGGAUCAGUCGGGAGCCUCCAGUGUUAAACAAUGCGGCGAUACAGGUAAGCGAGACCCAUAUCGUACAUAAUAGGGGGACGCAGUGUGAUCCGGGCCCGUGUUUUAAAAGUAGCGGGUGCCAUAUCACUGCGUGCCCUACAAGGGACUGUGAAACGAUGACAGACCGGUCGGAGGAAGGAUCGAUCAAGCCGGGGCACCUGGAAAGUGCUGGCUCUCUGAGCAAGGCGGUCCUAAAGACGCCGCCACCGGUCAUUUGUAAAACAAAAGGGGUUCAGACGGAAAAAAAGCGCUCUCUUUCUCUCAUAGAGACCCAAACUGUUGACAAACCCCAAAGCAAAAAGGAGAUCCCAAAAAUGAAACGGGGGUCUCCUGACAAGAGAGUACAGUUAGAGGCGGUGGGGGUCUUCUCCUCAGCAAGAAAAGGGGCAGACCUAACUUUUCCCAAUUGUUUUCAGUCCCGCAGGGGGAGAAUAACAGGAGGACGGAGGCAGUGUUACGGAUGCCGAAGGUUGAGCCACAUUUGGCGGAACUGUCCUUGGAGAGAGGGGGACCAGCUGUCAGUUCGGACUAAUAUUCCCCCUAGAUUCUCCAGGGAGCAAGAAACAUGGAUCAGCCAAGGCUCAACCGGAAACUCCUCUUGGAGAAAGACUUUCCUCUCAGGGCAGGCCGCUUCGAAUUAUAAUCCGUCGCUGGGGGAGUAGUACUGUGGUGUAUGGCCGGCCACUCAUCCCGGCCAAUACCCCCAAGCCACCAGGUGGAGCCCUCCCUGC